RNAcentral lists this ribosomal RNA (2900 nucleotides) under Klebsiella pneumoniae. RNAcentral's name for it is "bacterial LSU rRNA". It matches the Rfam family "Bacterial large subunit ribosomal RNA". The record is from RNAcentral. Lineage: Bacteria; Pseudomonadati; Pseudomonadota; Gammaproteobacteria; Enterobacterales; Enterobacteriaceae.
UUAAGCGACUAAGCGUACACGGUGGAUGCCCUGGCAGUCAGAGGCGAUGAAGGACGUGCUAAUCUGCGAAAAGCGUCGGUAAGGUGAUAUGAACCGUUAUAACCGGCGAUGUCCGAAUGGGGAAACCCAGUGCAAUUCGUUGCACUAUCGUUAACUGAAUACAUAGGUUAACGAGGCGAACCGGGGGAACUGAAACAUCUAAGUACCCCGAGGAAAAGAAAUCAACCGAGAUUCCCCCAGUAGCGGCGAGCGAACGGGGAGCAGCCCAGAGUCUGAAUCAGCUUGUGUGUUAGUGGAACGGUCUGGAAAGUCCGACGGUACAGGGUGAUAGUCCCGUACACCAAAAUGCACAGGCUGUGAACUCGAAGAGUAGGGCGGGACACGUGGUAUCCUGUCUGAAUAUGGGGGGACCAUCCUCCAAGGCUAAAUACUCCUGACUGACCGAUAGUGAACCAGUACCGUGAGGGAAAGGCGAAAAGAACCCCGGCGAGGGGAGUGAAAAAGAACCUGAAACCGUGUACGUACAAGCAGUGGGAGCACCUUCGGGUGUGACUGCGUACCUUUUGUAUAAUGGGUCAGCGACUUAUAUUCUGUAGCAAGGUUAACCGUAUAGGGGAGCCGCAGGGAAACCGAGUCUUAACUGGGCGUUAAGUUGCAGGGUAUAGACCCGAAACCCGGUGAUCUAGCCAUGGGCAGGUUGAAGGUUGGGUAACACUAACUGGAGGACCGAACCGACUAAUGUUGAAAAAUUAGCGGAUGACUUGUGGCUGGGGGUGAAAGGCCAAUCAAACCGGGAGAUAGCUGGUUCUCCCCGAAAGCUAUUUAGGUAGCGCCUCGUGAAUUCAUCUUCGGGGGUAGAGCACUGUUUCGGCUAGGGGGUCAUCCCGACUUACCAACCCGAUGCAAACUACGAAUACCGAAGAAUGUUAUCACGGGAGACACACGGCGGGUGCUAACGUCCGUCGUGAAGAGGGAAACAACCCAGACCGCCAGCUAAGGUCCCAAAGUCAUGGUUAAGUGGGAAACGAUGUGGGAAGGCACAGACAGCCAGGAUGUUGGCUUAGAAGCAGCCAUCAUUUAAAGAAAGCGUAAUAGCUCACUGGUCGAGUCGGCCUGCGCGGAAGAUGUAACGGGGCUAAACCAUGCACCGAAGCUGCGGCAGCGACACUAUGUGUUGUUGGGUAGGGGAGCGUUCUGUAAGCCUGCGAAGGUGACCUGUGAGGGUUGCUGGAGGUAUCAGAAGUGCGAAUGCUGACAUAAGUAACGAUAAAGCGGGUGAAAAGCCCGCUCGCCGGAAGACCAAGGGUUCCUGUCCAACGUUAAUCGGGGCAGGGUGAGUCGACCCCUAAGGCGAGGCCGAAAGGCGUAGUCGAUGGGAAACAGGUUAAUAUUCCUGUACUUGGUGUUACUGCGAAGGGGGGACGGAGAAGGCUAUGUUAGCCGGGCGACGGUUGUCCCGGUUUAAGCAUGUAGGCUGGUUAUCCAGGCAAAUCCGGAUAAUCAAGGCUGAGGUGUGAUGACGAGGCACUACGGUGCUGAAGUAACAAAUGCCCUGCUUCCAGGAAAAGCCUCUAAGCAUCAGGUAACAUCAAAUCGUACCCCAAACCGACACAGGUGGUCAGGUAGAGAAUACCAAGGCGCUUGAGAGAACUCGGGUGAAGGAACUAGGCAAAAUGGUGCCGUAACUUCGGGAGAAGGCACGCUGGUGUGUAGGUGAAGCCCCUGCGGGUGGAGCUGAGACCAGUCGAAGAUACCAGCUGGCUGCAACUGUUUAUUAAAAACACAGCACUGUGCAAACACGAAAGUGGACGUAUACGGUGUGACGCCUGCCCGGUGCCGGAAGGUUAAUUGAUGGGGUUAUCCGUAAGGAGAAGCUCUUGAUCGAAGCCCCGGUAAACGGCGGCCGUAACUAUAACGGUCCUAAGGUAGCGAAAUUCCUUGUCGGGUAAGUUCCGACCUGCACGAAUGGCGUAAUGAUGGCCAGGCUGUCUCCACCCGAGACUCAGUGAAAUUGAACUCGCUGUGAAGAUGCAGUGUACCCGCGGCAAGACGGAAAGACCCCGUGAACCUUUACUAUAGCUUGACACUGAACAUUGAGCCUUGAUGUGUAGGAUAGGUGGGAGGCUUUGAAGCGUGGACGCCAGUCUGCGUGGAGCCAACCUUGAAAUACCACCCUUUAAUGUUUGAUGUUCUAACGUUGGCCCCUUAUCGGGGUUGCGGACAGUGUCUGGUGGGUAGUUUGACUGGGGCGGUCUCCUCCCAAAGCGUAACGGAGGAGCACGAAGGUUAGCUAAUCCUGGUCGGACAUCAGGAGGUUAGUGCAAUGGCAUAAGCUAGCUUGACUGCGAGCGUGACGGCGCGAGCAGGUGCGAAAGCAGGUCAUAGUGAUCCGGUGGUUCUGAAUGGAAGGGCCAUCGCUCAACGGAUAAAAGGUACUCCGGGGAUAACAGGCUGAUACCGCCCAAGAGUUCAUAUCGACGGCGGUGUUUGGCACCUCGAUGUCGGCUCAUCACAUCCUGGGGCUGAAGUAGGUCCCAAGGGUAUGGCUGUUCGCCAUUUAAAGUGGUACGCGAGCUGGGUUUAGAACGUCGUGAGACAGUUCGGUCCCUAUCUGCCGUGGGCGCUGGAGAAUUGAGGGGGGCUGCUCCUAGUACGAGAGGACCGGAGUGGACGCAUCACUGGUGUUCGGGUUGUCAUGCCAAUGGCACUGCCCGGUAGCUAAAUGCGGAAGAGAUAAGUGCUGAAAGCAUCUAAGCACGAAACUUGCCCCGAGAUGAGUUCUCCCUGAGACUUUAAGUCUCCUGAAGGAACGUUAAAGACGAUGACGUUGAUAGGCCGGGUGUGUAAGCGCAGCGAUGCGUUGAGCUAACCGGUACUAAUGAACCGUGAGGCUUAACCUU